GUUCCGUCGUUGCUCUGGUGCCCUGGACUGCUGUGAAUGUGUUUUUAUGCCCUACUAGUGUUGCCUGGGGGUGCUUUUAUGUGUGCACCCUGGAAGAUAGGUCCAGAAGCCUUGCGAUUUCUUAUAUUAAAGCUAAGUGUACUCGUGACCCUACCAGCACUUUUCAAGAUACUUUCGACGUAUUCAUUGCGGUGAACAACGCGGUUGGGACAGCACACUCACGACGUGGGAAGGUCACAGAAAUGUUGAAAGACAUCAGGUAAGUUACGCUAAAGUGCGUUUCAGAGCUCUUCAGUGACUUGUGUUUACUGCGAAACAGAUUGGGCAUACGCUUCACCCGUGCAACUUCGUCAUGUGCUCCACGGCUUUACGGCUGUGCCACUGUAUGUAAAAAA
Long non-coding RNA from Ornithodoros turicata, 395 nucleotides. RefSeq lists it as uncharacterized. NCBI's taxonomy places the organism in Eukaryota, Metazoa, Arthropoda, Arachnida, Ixodida, Argasidae. The transcript has 3 exons. The record is from RefSeq and is a predicted model, not a curated record.